CGACCGGCGCACGGGUGCGUAACGCGUAUGCAACCUACCUGUAAUUAGGGGAUAACCCGGUGAAAGUCGGACUAAUACCCUAUAUUCUUCUUUAUUCGCAUGGAUAUGGACGGAAAGAUUAAUUGAUUACAGAUGGGCAUGCGUCCCAUUAGCUGGUUGGUAAGGUAACGGCUUACCAAGGCAACGAUGGGUAGGGGGACUGAGAGGUUGACCCCCCACACUGGUACUGAGACACGGACCAGACUCCUACGGGAGGCAGCAGUGAGGAAUAUUGGUCAAUGGGCGAGAGCCUGAACCAGCCAAGUCGCGUGAAGGAAGACGGUUCUAUGGAUUGUAAACUUCUUUUGUAGAGGAAUAAUGGCGGUUACGCGUAACCGAGAUGCAAGUACUCUACGAAUAAGCAUCGGCUAACUCCGUGCCAGCAGCCGCGGUAAUACGGAGGAUGCGAGCGUUAUCCGGACUUAUUGGGUUUAAAGGGUGCGUAGGUGGCUUGUUAAGUCAGUGGUGAAAAGCUGCAGCUCAACUGUAGUCUUGCCGUUGAAACUGACGGGCUAGAGAGGAAACGAGGUAUGCGGAAUGUGUGGUGU
RNAcentral lists this ribosomal RNA (587 nucleotides) under uncultured Porphyromonas sp. Its description in RNAcentral is "bacterial SSU rRNA". It matches the Rfam family "Bacterial small subunit ribosomal RNA", at positions 92 to 676 of the family's 1533-position model. The record is from RNAcentral. Lineage: Bacteria; Pseudomonadati; Bacteroidota; Bacteroidia; Bacteroidales; Porphyromonadaceae.